GCUAUUUUUUAUUGGCUCUUAAUAUUCAUUUGUAAAAAUUCAUCAAUUUAGAAAUGCAUUAGAUGCAAUUAUCAUAAUUAUAUUUUACAAAGUUUUAAAUACAUUGUCAAAAGAGUUCCAGAGGAUCAAAGCCAAUUAUAAUAGCACUAUUUCAGAUAUAAUCCAACCUUACUGAUAAUGAAAAUGAUAACAAUUUAGAAAUGAGGUAGAGAAUACGUAAGAGUUUAAAAGGAAACAGACUGAGUUUUUUCUCAAUAUAUAUUUCCAGGUUUUUAAAGAAGUUAAAGAGUAUUUUUCAUGUUUAUACUUUCGUUACUUUGAGUGACAUUGUGAUCCACCCAAAAUGCAAGUUACAUUCUGAUGACAUGAAUCACUGAUGUCUAUUAUAAAAUCAUAUGAGCUCAUAUCUUAAUACAACCCUCUAUACCAGAAAGCAAAUAAGACACUCUCUUAGAAGGAGAGCGCUUUACCUGCUGGCUUUGCUUACCUGAGAGACUGGCAGUUCUACAAGUUCUAGUGACCACAUGAUUAACUCAGAAAAACAAUAGACAGGGAUGCCUCCACAAUUUCAACACAUUGCUUGCCUCUCACCUUGUAACAGACCUUUUGCUGCAUUGGCUGAGCUGCAAGAGUAGGGGUAAAAGGAGAGUAGACUCCUUUUUAAUUCUGAAUAGCAGCAAAACCUACUGUUUUGUGGCAGGGCACAGAGAGUUCUUUUCCAGAAUUCUCAAAAAUUUGCAUAUUUUGAUGCAUUUCAGAUGCAUCCAAUCUGCACAGAGAAGCAAAGGGAUAGAUAUAACAACAAUAUUAAUAGGAUUUUACCACCAUCUUGUUCAUCUUUGUGUUCUGUUUUUCAUGUUUGACUCUACUACAAAGCUCUCUGAAAUAGAAAUAUUUAAUUACCUUUUUAUCUAGAAGCAUCCGGCCUAGUGUUCAGCGUCAUAAAUACAAAACAAAUAACAAGUAAUCAUACUAUAUCUCAAAAUGUAACUGAAUUGCACCUUUCAUGCGUUAUUUUUCUAUACCAUUAACUUCAGAUUUUGCAUUAUUUUAGUAACACACAUCAUGACUUCUCAAGGCAGAAAAUUCCACAUGAUGAACUACAGUAAGUAGUUGAGGUUGAGUGCAGUAAGAAGUGAGGCACAUCCAUGUAUUUCAAGCUCAGCAGCCACCACUGGCACAGAAUGCCCUCUCUUCUACUCCUCUUCAUGCCUGAAUGUAAUACAUUUAGCCAUCUGCUUCUAACUCAUGGGUCUCGUGAAGUCCCAUGCUUCUUCUCAGCAAAGCUGGUUAUUAGUCCUGGUGAGUUUUAUUUACUUACCACUCAGUGAUGUAACUGAGAUUGUGGGAUAACAGAAAUAAACUGGAAUUCUGUGGUUUUCUUGUUCAAGCACCAUUCCAAGCAAAAGUGUCUUCAAGGCCAGCUCAGGUUGUCAGGGCCUCGUACAACUGAGUUCUGAAGGCUGCUGAUUCUAUAGUUUUCUUGAGCUAGUUUACUCGUUCCAGUGAUUAUGUGCUUUUAUGGUGAGUAUUUUUUUCCUUAAACCCAUUCAGGAUUUUCCUUAGAAGUGCUUCCUCUUGCCUUUUCUCUGUUACGCUUGUGAGAAGUCAUGCGCCCCACUGUCUGUAAUUCUUCUUUAGAAGAGAUUGUAAUGGGAUGACAGCCCAAAUAAUUAGUGUAUUUUUCCACUCUGGGAAAUCU
This is a long non-coding RNA of Gallus gallus (chicken), 1702 nucleotides long. NCBI's taxonomy places the organism in Eukaryota, Metazoa, Chordata, Aves, Galliformes, Phasianidae. The record is from Ensembl.